This 38-nucleotide non-coding RNA is filed under the name Schistosoma margrebowiei. Lineage: Eukaryota; Metazoa; Platyhelminthes; Trematoda; Strigeidida; Schistosomatidae. The record is from RNAcentral.
AUCCAGCUGACGAGUUCCAAAUAGGACGUGUCCUGGAU